ACUCCUACGGGAGGCAGCAGUGGGGAAUAUUGGUCAAUGGAUGCAAGUCUGAACCAGCCAUGCCGCGUGCAGGAAGAAGGCCCUAUGGGUUGUAAACUGCUUUUGCCAGGGGAUAAAAUUUCCUUGCGAGGAAAAUUGAAGGUACCUGGUGAAUAAGCCACGGCUAACUACGUGCCAGCAGCCGCGGUAAUACGUAGGUGGCAAGCGUUGUCCGGAUUUAUUGGGUUUAAAGGGUGCGUAGGCGGUCAUAUAAGUCAGUGCUGAAAUAUCCCGGCUUAACCGGGAGGGUGGCAUUGAUACUGUAUGACUUGAGUAAAGUUGAGGUUGGCGGAAUUGACGGUGUAGCGGUGAAAUGCUUAGAUAUCGUCAAGAACACCUAUUGCGAAGGCAGCUAACUAAGCUUUAACUGACGCUGAGGCACGAAAGUGUGGGGAUCAAACAGGAUUAGAUACCCUGGUAGUCCACACUGUAAACGUUGAUUACUCGCUGUUGGCGAUACACAGCCAGCGGCUUAGCGCAAGCGAUAAGUAAUCCACCUGGGGAGUACGCCGGCAACGGUGAAACUCAAAGGAAUUGACGGGGGUCCGCACAAGCGGUGGGGCAUGUGGUUUAAUUCGAUGAUACGCGAGGAACCUUACCUGGGCUAGAAUGCCCUUGAUUGCCUCAGAGAUGAGGAGUUCCGCAAGGACAAGGAGCAAGGUGCUGCAUGGCUGUCGUCAGCUCGUGCCGUGAGGCGUUGGGUUAAGUCCCGCAACGAGCGCAACCCUUAUUUUUAGUUGCCAACAGGUUAAGCUGGGGACUCUAAAAAGACUGCCCGCGCAAGCGGAGAGGAAGGAGGGGAUGACGUCAAGUCAUCAUGGCCCUUACGCCCAGGGCUACACACGUGCUACAAUGGCGUAUACAAAGUGUUGCCAGCCAGCGAUGGCGAGCCAAUCACAAAAAGUACGUCUCAGUUCGGAUUGCAGGCUGCAACUCGCCUGCAUGAAGUUGGAAUCGCUAGU
RNAcentral lists this ribosomal RNA (1001 nucleotides) under uncultured bacterium. RNAcentral's name for it is "bacterial SSU rRNA". It matches the Rfam family "Bacterial small subunit ribosomal RNA", at positions 335 to 1339 of the family's 1533-position model. The record is from RNAcentral.